Molecule: ribosomal RNA, 512 nt
Filed under: uncultured bacterium
Lineage: Bacteria
Description: bacterial SSU rRNA
Rfam family: Bacterial small subunit ribosomal RNA
Source: RNAcentral
AUCAUGGCUCAGGAUGAACGCUAGCUACAGGCUUAACACAUGCAAGUCGAGGGGCAGCAUAACGAAAGCUUGCUUUGUUGAUGGCGACCGGCGCACGGGUGAGUAACGCGUAUCCAACCUUCCCUAUAGUAGAGAAUAGCCCGGCGAAAGUCGGAUUAAUGCUCUAUGUUCUCUUUGAUGGCAUCUGACGAGAAGCAAAGGUUCACCGCUAUAGGAUGGGGAUGCGUCUGAUUAGGUAGUCGGCGGGGUAACGGCCCACCGAGCCAACGAUCAGUAGGGGUUCUGAGAGGAAGGUCCCCCACAUUGGUACUGAGACACGGACCAAACUCCUACGGGAGGCAGCAGUGAGGAAUAUUGGUCAAUGGGCGAGAGCCUGAACCAGCCAAGUAGCGUGCAAGGAGGACUGCCCUAUGGGUUGUAAACUGCUUUUAUGCGGGAAUAAAGUCCACUACGUGUAGUGGUUUGUAUGUACCGCAUGAAUAAGGACCGGCUAAUUCCGUGCCAGCAGCGGC